This 253-nucleotide unclassified non-coding RNA is filed under the name uncultured bacterium. RNAcentral's name for it is "contains 16S-23S intergenic spacer region". It matches the Rfam family "Bacterial small subunit ribosomal RNA", at positions 524 to 776 of the family's 1533-position model. The record is from RNAcentral.
UACAGAGGUGGCGAGCGUUGUUCGGAUUUAUUGGGCGUAAAGGGUCCGUAGGCGGUUCGGAAAGUCGGGUGUGGAAUCCCACAGCUCAACUGUGGAACUGCAUUCGAUACUCCCGGACUAGAGUGUGAGAGGGGUAAAGGGAAUUCCCGGUGUAAGGGUGAAAUCUGCAGAGAUCGGGAGGAACACCAGUCGCGAAGGCGCUUUACUGGCUCACUACUGACGCUCAGGGACGAAAGCUAGGGGAGCAAACGGG